UACAGAGGGGGCAAGCGUUAUUCGGAAUUAUUGGGCGUAAAGGGCGCGUAGGCGGCCUGGCAAGUGGAAGGUGAAAUCCCUCGGCUUAACCGAGGAACUGCCCUCCAAACUGCUUGGCUUGAGUCCGGGAGAGGUGAGUGGAAUUCCCAGUGUAGCGGUGAAAUGCGUAGAUAUUGGGAGGAACACCAGUGGCGAAGGCGGCUCACUGGACCGGAACUGACGCUGAGGCGCGACAGCGUGGGGAGCAAACAGG
Molecule: ribosomal RNA, 253 nt
Filed under: uncultured bacterium
Lineage: Bacteria
Description: partial 16S ribosomal RNA
Rfam family: Bacterial small subunit ribosomal RNA
Source: RNAcentral